RNAcentral lists this ribosomal RNA (440 nucleotides) under uncultured bacterium. Its description in RNAcentral is "partial 16S ribosomal RNA". It matches the Rfam family "Bacterial small subunit ribosomal RNA", at positions 338 to 795 of the family's 1533-position model. The record is from RNAcentral.
CCUACGGUGGGCAGCAGUGGGGAAUAUUGCACAAUAGGGGGAACCCUGAUGCAGCGACGCCGCGUGGGUGAGGAAGUACUUCGGUAUGUAAAGCCCUAUCAGUAGGGAAGAAAAUGUUGCUACUUGACUAAGAAGCACCGGCAAACUACGUGACAACAGCCGCGGUAAUACGUAGGGGGGACGCGGUAAUCGGUAUUACUGGGGGUAAAGGGAGCGUAGACGGCGUGCCAAGUCUGGUGUGAAAGGCCGGGGCUCAACCCCGGGACUGCAUUGGAUACUGGCCUGCUGGAGUGCCUGAGGGGCAAGCGGAAUUCCUAGUGUAGCGGUGAAAUGCGUAGAUAUUAGGAGGAACACCGGUGGCGAAGGCAGCUUGCUGGGCGGUAACUGACGUUGAGGCUCGAAAGCGUGGGGAGCAAACAGGAUUAGAUACCCGAGUAGUC